GAUGAACGCUGGCGGCGUGCCUAAUACAUGCAAGUCGAGCGAACAGACGAGGAGCUUUCUCUUCUGCCGUUAGCGGCGGACGGGUGAGUAACACGUGCAUAACCAACCUCUUUGACGGGGAGAACAUCGUGAAAACGCUGCUAAUACUGGCGAAUAUAAUGAACCGCAUGGAUCAAAAGUGAAUGACGGCUUUCCCGUCACUUAUAGCCGGUGCCGCGCCGCAUUAGCUAGUUGGUAAGGUAACGGCUUACCAAGGCAACGAUGCGUAGCCGACCUGAGAGGGUGAUCGGCCACACUGGAACUGAGACACGGUCCAGACUCCUACGGGAGGCAGCAGUAGGGAAUCUUGCGCAAUGGGCGAAAGCUUGACGGAGCAACGCCGCGUGAGUGAUGAAGGUCUUCGGGUCGUAAAACUCUGUUAUUAGGGAAGAACAAAUGUGUAAGUAACUAUGCACGUCUUGACGGUACCUAAUCAGAAAGCAACGGCUAACUACGUG
This 497-nucleotide ribosomal RNA is filed under the name uncultured bacterium. RNAcentral describes it as "partial 16S ribosomal RNA". It matches the Rfam family "Bacterial small subunit ribosomal RNA", at positions 28 to 507 of the family's 1533-position model. The record is from RNAcentral.